RNAcentral lists this ribosomal RNA (640 nucleotides) under uncultured Alphaproteobacteria bacterium. RNAcentral's name for it is "bacterial SSU rRNA". It matches the Rfam family "Bacterial small subunit ribosomal RNA", at positions 224 to 880 of the family's 1533-position model. The record is from RNAcentral. Lineage: Bacteria; Pseudomonadati; Pseudomonadota; Alphaproteobacteria.
GAUCGGCCCGCGUCUGAUUAGGUAGUUGGUGAGGUAACGGCUCACCAAGCCGACGAUCGGUAGCUGGUCUGAGAGGAUGAUCAGCCACACUGGGACUGAGAUACGGCCCAGACUCCUACGGAAGGCAGCAGUGGGGAAUAUUGGACAAUGGGGGCAACCCUGAUCCAGCAAUGCCGCGUGAGUGAUGAAGGCCUUAGGGUUGUAAAGCUCUUUUGGCGGGGACGAUGAUGACGGUACCCGCAGAAUAAGCCCCGGCUAACUUCGUGCCAGCAGCCGCGGUAAUACGAAGGGGGCUAGCGUUGCUCGGAAUUACUGGGCGUAAAGCGCACGUAGGCGGCUUUCUAAGUCGGGGGUGAAAUCCUGGAGCUCAACUCCAGAACUGCCUUCGAUACUGGAGAGCUCGAGUCCGGGAGAGGUGAGUGGAACUGCGAGUGUAGAGGUGAAAUUCGUAGAUAUUCGCAAGAACACCAGUGGCGAAAGCCGCUCACUGGCCCGGUACUGACGCUUGAGUGCGAAAGCGUGGGGAGCAAACAGGAUUAGAUACCCUGCUAGUCCACGCCGUUAAACGAUGGAUGCCUGCCGUUGGCGAGCUUGCCUCGUCAGUGGCGCAACUAACGCUUUAAGCAUCCCGCCUGGGGGA